CCUGUCAAGUUUCUUAUUGUUCCCUUGAUGUUACCCUUAAACCUUCUAAGAAGGGCAUCAAUUCCCAGUAACUAUGAAGAGCCAAGGUAAAAUAAAAUUCAAGGUUCAAGUGUUUCAGGUUGGUGAUAAAAAAAAUGUAAAAUUACUUUUUGCAAGUCUAUCAUAUAUGAUUAUAGACCACCUUAACAUUGUCAGUAGUCACACUGUUGUUUUGAAAGAUUAUCAAGCAAGGUAAACCAGUGCUACUUUUAUGACAGGUUUGGUUGGUCUUAUGUGAUGAUCAAGGCUUACUUUGGGACUUCAAUUCAAUAAGCUGUAUUGAUGACCUUUUGCCUAAUUGGACAAUUUUUUGCCCGUCUGUGAAACAAGCUGGGGCGAGGAGCUCAAGAAUUUGCUAAUCAGUUUAUAUCCCAUAUGAUCCUAUUGUUGUCAUGGAAUUGUUUUGUCACAUGAUUGAUUUGGGUGUGGCUAACUUGGCUGAGGACCUUCAACUUCCAUACCCGAGACCGAUCAAAAUGAAGAAAUGGGAUUUUGCGGAGGAAGCAUCAGCAACAGCUGAGCACCAUCUUAUGUUCUAACCUUGAAGAGGCUCGUGGGCUAACUGGAGUGUCCUGAGGAAGUUUUGAUGCUUGUGAAGAUCCAAACCACUUGAUCUGGUCUCAACAUCACAUACCUGAAUGAUAGUAAAUCAUUGUUUGAUGCAGUUGCAUUCUACUGAUAUCACUCCUCAACUCAAUGAGGCUCUGCAGGGAGAUUCAAGCUGUAUUUUUGUAACUCAGAGAUAGUCCCCAAACACCACAGGAUGGAGAUACGGGCAAGAAUGAGCCAUGUCAUUGUGGAAAGGCAUUCCAAAAUUCCUUGCUAUUGGCUUUUAUCAUGUGCUCCGUGUUGUUAAUACUCUUCAAAGGAUUCUUGAUAUAAGGCGACCUCUUCUCAUGUGGUGUUUUAGUCCUUUGCAA
Molecule: long non-coding RNA, 959 nt
Organism: Syzygium oleosum
Lineage: Eukaryota; Viridiplantae; Streptophyta; Magnoliopsida; Myrtales; Myrtaceae
Exons: 3
Source: RefSeq, a predicted model, not a curated record